AAAAAGCAUUUCACGAAGAGAACUCUGUCGCAAUACCGAUCGGCUGGACGAUCGAUUCGCCGGCCGAUCGCGAUCUAAGGCGCACGAAAUCCCGACAGAUCACCUCGCAAUUACGCGGAUCAACGAUAGUGAAAGUAACCAGCGCAAGGUCACGUCGCCAGAAGUAUUUAAUUAUCGCGCGAUCUCCCUCUUUCUUUCUGUUUCUCUCUUUUCCUCUGUCUGUCUAUCUUUCUCUCGCAAUCUACGCCGUCACGGAGAUUCGCACGCUGGCCUCUCACCCACCUCGCCGAAGAAGACGAUCAAUGGACUUCUCAGCAAUUUCCUCUGAGAAACUCGAAUGUAUUCCGAAAUUAGGGGAACUGAGAAUAAUUAUUUGACGAGAAUAAUUAUACGUAAUAAAGAGAAAGUUUCUUGUAAUCAGAAUAAGCGAGCAAAAUACAAAAGAGCUUGAAUGUGUAUGAGCUAACAAACACUCGGAUUACUAAUAAGGAAAUUACACACCCGCCGAUGAUCGCCGAUAUAAGCGGAAAGGGAGAAAGCAACGUGCAAGAAAACGAAAAUAGCUUUCGCACCUGAUCCGCAGACGGGGGUUCGCUUUCUGCUAAAUCCUUAUCCCGUGUAUCCUCGCGACGACGCAGAUGGUGUCAUAGUCGACGAGUGACGGCGUGACGGUGAAACCAGAGGAUUCGCUUCCUGGGUGAAUUUCAGCUGGCUGGACGUUCGGCCGAUCGAUGUUAGCUGGCCGUUUGGUCACUCUCUCUUCCCUCUUCGUAUCUUUAGCGCGCGGAACGCAGGGCACGCGUGGACGACGAAGAAAGCGAGGGCCGUCGACGGUUCCGUCGAAGCGAGGGUGAACGUCGCGAGGCGAGCUGUUGACGACGACGACGACGACGGGAUCGCGCAAGAUCGCCGGAAUCGGUCAGGUGAAAGCGGAGCCGAGAGGUGAACGUUGGCCGCACGACUGCCAUGGCAUCGUCUACCAAGGACUUGAAAUGACCAUUUGGCAGCCAUCUGUAGCAAUUAAAAUUUAAAAAUCCAUAAUUGGCCACCUGGACUUCCGGA
Molecule: long non-coding RNA, 1062 nt
Organism: Odontomachus brunneus
Lineage: Eukaryota; Metazoa; Arthropoda; Insecta; Hymenoptera; Formicidae
Exons: 3
Source: RefSeq, a predicted model, not a curated record